GUCGAACGAGUUCUCGUUGAUGAUCGGUGCUUGCACCGAGAUUCAACAUGGAACGAGUGGCGGACGGGUGAGUAACACGUGGGUAACCUGCCCUUAAGUGGGGGAUAACAUUUGGAAACAGAUGCUAAUACCGCAUAGAUCCAAGAACCGCAUGGUUCUUGGCUGAAAGAUGGCGUAAGCUAUCGCUUUUGGAUGGACCCGCGGCGUAUUAGCUAGUUGGUGAGGUGAUGGCUCACCAAGGCGAUGAUACGUAGCCGAACUGAGAGGUUGAUCGGCCACAUUGGGACUGAGACACGGCCCAAACUCCUACGGGAGGCAGCAGUAGGGAAUCUUCCACAAUGGACGCAAGUCUGAUGGAGCAACGCCGCGUGAGUGAAGAAGGCUUUCGGGUCGUAAAACUCUGUUGUUGGAGAAGAAUGGUCGGCAGAGUAACUGUUGUCGGCGUGACGGUAUCCAACCAGAAAGCCACGGCUAACUACGUGCCAGCAGCCGCGGUAAUACGUAGGUGGCAAGCGUUAUCCGGAUUUAUUGGGCGUAAAGCGAGCGCAGGCGGUUUUUUAAGUCUGAUGUGAAAGCCCUCGGCUUAACCGAGGAAGCGCAUCGGAAACUGGGAAACUUGAGUGCAGAAGAGGACAGUGGAACUCCAUGUGUAGCGGUGAAAUGCGUAGAUAUAUGGAAGAACACCAGUGGCGAAGGCGGCUGUCUGGUCUGUAACUGACGCUGAGGCUCGAAAGCAUGGGUAGCGAACAGGAUUAGAUACCCUGGUAGUCCAUGCCGUAAACGAUGAAUGCUAGGUGUUGGAGGGUUUCCGCCCUUCAGUGCCGCAGCUAACGCAUUAAG
RNAcentral lists this ribosomal RNA (840 nucleotides) under uncultured bacterium. RNAcentral's name for it is "bacterial SSU rRNA". It matches the Rfam family "Bacterial small subunit ribosomal RNA", at positions 61 to 864 of the family's 1533-position model. The record is from RNAcentral.